This 403-nucleotide ribosomal RNA is filed under the name uncultured bacterium. RNAcentral describes it as "partial 16S ribosomal RNA". It matches the Rfam family "Bacterial small subunit ribosomal RNA", at positions 28 to 526 of the family's 1533-position model. The record is from RNAcentral.
GACGAACGCUGGCGGAGUGCCUAAUACAUGCAAGUCGAACGCAGUGGGGACGGGUGAGUAACACGUGGGUAACCUCCCAUCAGAGGGGAUAACACUUGGAAACAGGCGCUAAACCGAUCCUGAUGGUUGGCCCCGCGGUGCAUUAGCUAGUGGGUGGGGUAACGGCUCACCAAGGCCAGGAUGCAUGGCCGACCUGCGAGGUUGAUCAGCCACACUGGGACUGAGAAACGGCCCAGACUCCGACGGGAGGCAGCAGUAGGGAAUAUUCGGCAAUGGACGAAAGUCUGACCGAGCAACGCCGCGUGAGUGAAGACGGUUUUCGGUUCGUAAAGUUCUGUUGUUAGAGAAGCGGUAUCUAACCAGAAAGCCACGGCUAACUACGUGCCAGCAGCCGCGGUAAUAC